GCCCGUGUACCAAAGGGUCAUGGGUUUGAUUUCCGGUCAAGGCCACCUACCUGGGUUGCAGGUUCGAUCCCUGCCUUGGUUG
RNAcentral lists this transfer RNA (82 nucleotides) under Myotis brandtii (Brandt's bat). It matches the Rfam family "tRNA". Rfam says of the family: Transfer RNA (tRNA) molecules are approximately 80 nucleotides in length. Lineage: Eukaryota; Metazoa; Chordata; Mammalia; Chiroptera; Vespertilionidae. The record is from Rfam by way of RNAcentral.